UGCGCUUCUGGGUCCGGUCCCCCUAAAUUCUGAUUCCGGUUUAGCCCAUUGGCCACUUCUAUCUUGUACUUACUAUCAAAAGUAGAUUCUAGUGAACUUAUUUGACUAAUUGUGCUUUCAAGAUCUUGACUGAGAAAUUGAACGCUUGCAUUUGAUUUAGCUUUUGCCACAAUUGUUAUAGAAAUUUUACCAAAGAAUUUGAAGUGCUGCUCAAGUAGUCCCCACCAGAAGUUGCAAUGCCAAAUGCAUUCACACGGUGCAGAAGAAAGUUAUUAUUAUAUAUAAAAAAAAAAAAUUAAAUGCUAAUUGGUAUGGUAUAAGGUAGGGUUAAACUUGUAUCACACAAAUUCUAAAUAAAACAUUGGAAAAAUCAUUGGAAGUAGUAUUCUCUCCAUAUCAUAAAAAAUGAUUGAUUACAUAAUAAUGUUUAUGGAUACUGGAUGGUAAGAAAACCAUUAGUUCUUCAUUCAAUUAAACUCUUGUUUUGUUUAUAGAAUAGUAAGGGAAUGGAAUGACUAUUCCAUAGUGAAUAUUCAUUCUCAACUUUGGUUCAAAUUUAAACGCGGAAUAGUUGUUCUCUAUAUCUAACUACUCCAUAAUCUCAACUUUGGUUAAAACACAUUAGUGAAAAAAAUAAUCAUUUUACAACCUAUGGAAUAGGAAUGGAUAUAUUCGAUUUUGUCAACCAAAUGAAGUAUAAAUCCUUAUGCAAGUUGAACUCCAAAAUGGGACAACAAAUAAUUUGCUGAAUUCAAAACAUAAAAUUCUAUAUACUGGAGCUAAUUGAGUUAUUAUUCUUGGCUUAUCCUGUUAUCCUAAAAUUUAAGAUAUACUAACCCUUUUUAUGCUUCUUGGUUUUCAGCUUACCGAAAACUUGCUAGGAG
RNAcentral lists this unclassified non-coding RNA (884 nucleotides) under Hevea brasiliensis (rubber tree). Lineage: Eukaryota; Viridiplantae; Streptophyta; Magnoliopsida; Malpighiales; Euphorbiaceae. The record is from RNAcentral.